CCUACGGGUCGCACCAGUGGGGAAUAUUGCACAAUGGGCGCAAGCCUGAUGCAGCCAUGCCGCGUGUGUGAAGAAGGCCUUCGGGUUGUAAAGCACUUUCAGCGGGGAGGAAGGCGAUAAGGUUAAUAACCUUGUCGAUUGACGUUACCCGCAGAAGAAGCACCGGCUAACUCCGUGCCAGCAGCCGCGGUAAUACGGAGGGUGCAAGCGGUAAUCGGAAUUACUGGGCGUAAAGCGCACGCAGGCGGUCCGCCAAGUCGGAUGUAAAAUCCCCGGGCUCAACCUGGGAACUGCAUUCGAAACUGGCAGGCUAGAGUCUUGUAGAGGGGGGUAGAAUUCCAGGUGUAGCGGUGAAAUGCGUAGAGAUCUGGAGGAAUACCGGUGGCGAAGGCGGCCCCCUGGACAAAGACUGACGCUCAGGUGCGAAAGCGUGGGGAGCAAACAGGAUUAGAUACCCUCGUAGUC
RNAcentral lists this ribosomal RNA (465 nucleotides) under uncultured bacterium. RNAcentral's name for it is "bacterial SSU rRNA". It matches the Rfam family "Bacterial small subunit ribosomal RNA", at positions 338 to 795 of the family's 1533-position model. The record is from RNAcentral.